RNAcentral lists this ribosomal RNA (383 nucleotides) under uncultured Nitrospina sp. Its description in RNAcentral is "bacterial SSU rRNA". It matches the Rfam family "Bacterial small subunit ribosomal RNA", at positions 29 to 410 of the family's 1533-position model. The record is from RNAcentral. Lineage: Bacteria; Pseudomonadati; Nitrospinota; Nitrospinia; Nitrospinales; Nitrospinaceae.
AACGUACGCUGGCGGCAGGCCUAACACAUGCAAGUCGAGCGAGAAAGCCCUUCGGGGUGAGUAGAGCGGCGGACGGGUGAGUAACGCGUAGGAAUCUACCAAGUAGUGGGGGACAACAUGGUGAAAACUAUGCUAAUACCGGAUAAGACCACAUUUCAUAAGAAAUGCGGUAAAAGAAGUCUCAAUCUUCACUCGAGGAUGAGUUCGCGCAACAUUAGCUUGUUGGUGAGAUAAAAGCUCACCAAGGCUACGAUGUUUAGCCGGCCUGAGAGGGUGAACGGCCACACUGGAACUGAGACACGGUCCAGACUCCUACGGAGGCAGCAGUGGGGAAUAUUGCGCAAUGGGCGAAAGCCUGACGCAGCAACGCCGCGUGACCGAUG